CCCACAUCAUCUCUCUACAGGAUCCAGCCUCAUACAAAGGAGAAUCACCUACUCGGACCAUAUAAUUAAAAGACUAAAGCCAAGCCGUGGCUGGAAGGGAGGAGCAUUAGAUGUGGGUCUGUGAAUUACGUCAACAGUGAAGACCCAAUGGCAAUUGGGACUGUUGAUUCAGCAGCUACCAAACAGAUUUCCCUUCCAGAAGAGUCCAAGCCCUCAGAUAGUCUCUGGGGAUUAAAGAGAGCCAGACUGGAAUGCUGCCUCCUUCAGGAAGCAGGGAGUUUUGGACUGACUCUUGCACCAAGACCUCACAGCGCUGCAUCUGCACCAGCCUGAAGCAUCUCUAAUCUGACAUCAGAUUAUAUUUAAGUUUAGGGGACAGCACCUGACAUGACCUGGUGUGAGCUCAAAAGAGCCACGUCUGGCUGGAUGUGUGAAGCCUCGUAAGCCUGGAAGGCCAUUCACGCAAGGACCAGUGCCACUCCUGGACAGCCCAGGCCGUCCCUAUGAGUUCUUUACCCCCUCUUCCU
This 527-nucleotide long non-coding RNA is filed under the name Vombatus ursinus (common wombat). RNAcentral describes it as "lncRNA (ENSVURG00010024774.1)". Lineage: Eukaryota; Metazoa; Chordata; Mammalia; Diprotodontia; Vombatidae. The record is from RNAcentral.